GAGCACGUAGGUGGGUUUGUAAGUCAGAUGUGAAAGCCUUCUGUUCAACGGAAGAAUUGCAUCUGAAACUGCGAGUCUUGAGUGUAGGAGGGGAGAAUGGAUCUUCUGGUGGAGCGGUGAAAUGCGUAGAUAUCAGAAGGAACUCCGGCGGCGAAAGCGAUUCUCUGGCCUAUUACUGACACUCAGUGUGCGAAAGCUAGGGGAGCAAACGGGAUUAGAUACCCCGGUAGUCCUAGCCGUAAAUGAUGGGCACUAAGUAGAGGGGUUUU
Molecule: ribosomal RNA, 269 nt
Filed under: uncultured Planctomycetales bacterium
Lineage: Bacteria; Pseudomonadati; Planctomycetota; Planctomycetia; Planctomycetales
Description: partial 16S ribosomal RNA
Rfam family: Bacterial small subunit ribosomal RNA
Source: RNAcentral